Molecule: ribosomal RNA, 451 nt
Filed under: uncultured bacterium
Lineage: Bacteria
Description: partial 16S ribosomal RNA
Rfam family: Bacterial small subunit ribosomal RNA
Source: RNAcentral
AACGAACGCUGGCGGCAGGCUUAACACAUGCAAGUCGAACUGGUGCAGCAAUGCAUCAGUGGCAGACGGGUGAGUAACACGUGGGAACCUUCCUAGGGGUACGGAACAACUCAGGGAAACUUGAGCUAAUACCGUAUACGUCCGUGAGGAGAAAGAUUUAUCGCCCUUAGACGGGCCCGCGUCGGAUUAGCUAGUUGGUGGGGUAACGGCCUACCAAGGCGACGAUCCGUAGCUGAUCUUAAAGGAUGAUCAGCCACACUGGGACUGAGACACGGCCCAGACUCCUACGGGAGGCAGCAGUGGGGAAUCUUGGACAAUGGGCGCAAGCCUGAUCCAGCCAUGCCGCGUGAGUGAAGAAGGUCUUCGGAUUGUAAAGCUCUUUUGCCAGGGACGAUAAUGACGGUACCUGGAGAAUAAGCCCCGGCAAACUUCGUGCCAGCCUCCGCAGUAA